RNAcentral lists this ribosomal RNA (615 nucleotides) under uncultured bacterium. RNAcentral's name for it is "bacterial SSU rRNA". It matches the Rfam family "Bacterial small subunit ribosomal RNA", at positions 90 to 689 of the family's 1533-position model. The record is from RNAcentral.
GUUGAGUGGCGGACGGGUGAGUAACACGGUGGGUAACCUGCCUAAAAGAAGGGGAUAACACCUUGGGAAACAGGUGCUAAUACCGUAUAUCUCUAAGGAUCGCAUGAUCCUUAGAUGAAAGAUGGUUCUGCUAUCGCUUUUAGAUGGACCCGCGGCGUAUUAACUAGUUGGUGGGGUAACGGCCUACCAAGGUGAUGAUACGUAGCCGAACUGAGAGGUUGAUCGGCCACAUUGGGACUGAGACACGGCCCAAACUCCUACGGGAGGCAGCAGUAGGGAAUCUUCCACAAUGGACGCAAGUCUGAUGGAGCAACGCCGCGUGAGUGAAGAAGGUCUUCGGAUCGUAAAACUCUGUUGUUAGAGAAGAACACGAGUGAGAGUAACUGUUCAUUCGAUGACGGUAUCUAACCAGCAAGUCACGGCUAACUACGUGCCAGCAGCCGCGGUAAUACGUAGGUGGCAAGCGUUGUCCGGAUUUAUUGGGCGUAAAGGGAACGCAGGCGGUCUUUUAAGUCUGAUGUGAAAGCCUUCGGCUUAACCGGAGUAGUGCAUUGGAAACUGGAAGACUUGAGUGCAGAAUAGGAGAGUGGAACUCCGUGUGUAGCGGUGAAAUGC